Molecule: long non-coding RNA, 866 nt
Filed under: Nicotiana benthamiana
Lineage: Eukaryota; Viridiplantae; Streptophyta; Magnoliopsida; Solanales; Solanaceae
Description: long non-coding RNA (NBEN_LNC030868)
Source: RNAcentral
AAUUGUUUCAUCUAAAAGAUUAUUUCAGCAAUUCAUGGUAGAUGGAUAUACAAUGAUGGAAUCUUCUCGAUUAAGCUUUAUUAGACUUCAUAAGAAACAAUUGAGAGCACACUUUUAUAAAAGGUUAGAAGAUGUUGUUUUGCAUGGAGACAUAGAACCUUCUUCUCAAGGACAAAGAGAUAUAUUCUCUUCCAGCUUCACAAGGGGUGCACGUUACAUGUUGCAAAAUUAUCAAGAUGCCAUGGCAAUUUGCAAAUGGGCAGGGUACAUUAAUCUCUUCAUUACAUUUACUUGCAAUCCAAAAUGUCCUGAAAUUACUAGAUUUGUUGAGAGUAGGAGACUAUCUCUAGAAGAUCUCCUGACAUUUUAACAAGGAUUUUCAAAGUUAAAUUUGAUCGCAUGAUAAAGGACCUGCGAGACAAUAAAAUUUUUGGAGAAGUAAAAGCAGGUACAAUUUUUAUAUUCUUUAACAUUUUUUACAUUAAUAUUUAACUUAUUAUAAGUUAAUAUUAAAAAUAUUAUAUACACAUACUUACUUAUCUAAUAAAUCAUUUUUUGCAGUAAUUUAUACAGUUGAAUUCCAAAAGCGGGGUUUUCCUCAUGCACACAUCUUGAUUUUUCUCCGUAAUAAAUACCCAAAUGUUGCAGAUAUUGAUGGAAUAAUUUCAGCAGAAUUACCUGAUAAAAAUGUUGAUCCUCAAUAUUAUAAUGUUGUUUCAAAUUUUAUGAUGCAUGGCCCGUGUGGUUCUGCUAGAAAAUAUUCUCCUUGCAUAUAUAAAGGAAAAUGUACAAAGCACUUUCCCAAAAAAUUUGUGCCAUCAACCACAGUUGAUGAAGAUGGGUAUCCUAUUUAUAGAAGAAGGGAG